This 438-nucleotide ribosomal RNA is filed under the name uncultured bacterium. Its description in RNAcentral is "bacterial SSU rRNA". It matches the Rfam family "Bacterial small subunit ribosomal RNA", at positions 954 to 1392 of the family's 1533-position model. The record is from RNAcentral.
GCUAAACGCGAAGAACCUUACCUGGGUUUGACAUAUACCGGAAACGUCUAGAGAUAGGCGCCCCGCAAGGUCGGUAUACAGGUGGUGCAUGGCUGUCGUCAGCUCGUGUCGUGAGAUGUUGGGUUAAGUCCCGCAACGAGCGCAACCCUCGUCCAAUGUUGCCAGCGGAUAAUGCCGGGGACUCAUUGGAGACCGCCGGGGUCAACUCGGAGGAAGGUGGGGAUGACGUCAAGUCAUCAUGCCCCUUAUGUCCAGGGCUUCACGCAUGCUACAAUGGCCGGUACAAAGAGCUGCGAACCUGCAAGGGUGAGCGAAUCUCAAAAAAGCCGGUCUCAGUUCGGAUUGGGGUCUGCAACUCGACCCCAUGAAGUCGGAGUCGCUAGUAAUCGCAGAUCAGCAACGCUGCGGUGAAUACGUUCCCGGGUCUUGUACACACCG